GAUGAACGCUGGCGGCGUGCCUAAUACAUGCAAGUCGAGCGAACGGACGAGAAGCUUGCUUUUCUGAUGUUAGCGGCGGACGGGUGAGUAACACGUGGAUAACCUACCUAUAAGACUGGGAUAACUUCGGGAAACCGGAGCUAAUACCGGAUAAUAUUUUGAACCGCAUGGUUCAAAAGUGAAAGACGGUCUUGCUGUCACUUAUAGAUGGAUCCGCGCUGCAUUAGCUAGUUGGUAAGGUAACGGCUUACCAAGGCAACGAUGCAUAGCCGACCUGAGAGGGGGAUCGCCCACACGGGAACGGAGACACGGCCCAGACCCCUCCGGGAGGCACCGGAGGGGAAUCUCCCGCAAUGGGCGAAAGCCUGACGGGGCAGCGCGGGGGGGUUGAUGAGGGUCUCCGGUUCUUAAACCUCUUUUAUUGGGAAAAAAAAUAUGUUAAAUUAACUGUGCACUUCUUGACGGUACCUAAAAAAAAACCCCCGGCUAACUCCGUC
Molecule: ribosomal RNA, 497 nt
Filed under: uncultured bacterium
Lineage: Bacteria
Description: partial 16S ribosomal RNA
Rfam family: Bacterial small subunit ribosomal RNA
Source: RNAcentral